GGUUGGUCUAAAGUAGUGAGUUAUCUCGAUUGUUCACAGUCAGUCACAGGUUGAACUCCUUGUUCUAUUAUUUGCCCCCUUCUCACUACUGCACUUGACUAGUCUUAA
RNAcentral lists this Y RNA (108 nucleotides) under Carlito syrichta (Philippine tarsier). RNAcentral's name for it is "Y RNA (ENSTSYG00000022276.2)". It matches the Rfam family "Y RNA". From Rfam's summary of the family: Y RNAs are components of the Ro ribonucleoprotein particle (Ro RNP), in association with Ro60 and La proteins. The Y RNAs and Ro60 and La proteins are well conserved, but the function of the Ro RNP is not known. The record is from Rfam by way of RNAcentral. Lineage: Eukaryota; Metazoa; Chordata; Mammalia; Primates; Tarsiidae.